This 72-nucleotide transfer RNA is filed under the name Planctomycetota bacterium. RNAcentral's name for it is "Planctomycetes bacterium tRNA-Gly". It matches the Rfam family "tRNA". Rfam says of the family: Transfer RNA (tRNA) molecules are approximately 80 nucleotides in length. Their secondary structure includes four short double-helical elements and three loops (D, anti-codon, and T loops). Lineage: Bacteria; Pseudomonadati; Planctomycetota. The record is from RNAcentral.
GUGUCCUUGGCCGACCGGCAAAGGCGCCAGGCUUCCAACCUGGACAGGCGGGUUCGACUCCCGCAGGACACU